CAUUACAGCUGGAGUCUGAGACCGACGCGUGAAUGCGAAUCUCUCAGCCUCGAAUCCUGACAUGGUUUUAGUACUAGAUCCUUUGGUCAGAGAGAAAGUCUCUUGCCCUCUGACCCAACGGAUCCAAUGCGAUCAUGGCUCACCCUCCUCAGAAGUCAUUCCUUCAUACCGAGAGCGUUCAGACUCCGGAGAAUCGAAUGACAGCAGCUCCCAUCAGAGAAAGAGGCUGAACUCCAGCGCCUCAGACCGUAGCCACGAAUCCCUGUCUACUGCUGAGCCUCAUCUGAACCUCCUCCGAGGGACCAAAGCUCAUGGUCAGGACCAGCUGGAGAGGAAGUCAGUGCAGCUAUGAAUUCAGAGGCUCCGCAGAUGGAUCGAGACCUGAAGAAACUUGACAACGGCGUGGAGACGACUCACUUUCAGAGCACAGCAGGUUCACAAGCAUGCACACUGAAUGAGAACAGUACAAGAGCUGAAGACAUCUCGGGACAGAAGAUCACAUCAGGUAGAGAUGCUCUGUUGACUUCUCUUACUAAUGGCAAGGAUACAGAUUUUAAAAACAAAGCCUCAUUCUCCGGGCCCGUCAUUCGUGCAAACUCUGUUCGUGACAGGAUGCGCAAGUUCACCGAACCUGUUACGAGCGCACCUAAAAUCAGCCACAGUUCUUCUCAUUCUACAAACACAGUGUCUGCUGAGAGGUCCUGGGACACCUCGUCCUGUUCUUCCUCCAUCCCAAAGAAAGAGAGGAAUGUCACUGAGAACAUGUUGGCCCAGCCUGGGCUUCUCUCCAGCCAAUCACACACCACAGUGGGCGGCUCACACUGCUGCACUGAAAAUGUCAGGCGUGCGUGCAGCGGUUCAGAAGAAGUGCAGACUCCUGAGGGAGAAGCAUCUUCAGGGACCCACGACACCCGGGGUGAACCUGAGUCCAACAUGAAGACCUUCCUCAGCAUUGAGAUCAAAGACGGACGAAACCCAACUUCACAUUCUUUGUUGCCAUCAUCCUCUACAGCCGUAAACAUGAGCCCUCGAAUCAUCACAUCUGCUGCUCCACAGAGAACAGGU
This 1065-nucleotide long non-coding RNA is filed under the name Sinocyclocheilus anshuiensis. RNAcentral describes it as "lncRNA (ENSSANG00000037985.1)". The record is from RNAcentral. Lineage: Eukaryota; Metazoa; Chordata; Actinopteri; Cypriniformes; Cyprinidae.